ACAUCUCUUGAUGAACCUGAAGUAGAAGGAGCUCCACAGGGAUGUUUGAAACCAAUGAUAUUCAGAUAUUUCUGCUGGUCUGAGUGUCCCAGAAAGAAACCAGACUGAAGGGGAAAAGUAGAGCAGUUCCAGGAGAAAAUCCUUAUGAAUAAAGAAGUUUAUCCAAGGGCACAGCAGAGCAGCAAAGCAUGUCGGCCAGGCAGCAGGGUUGGGCGGCUCCCUGGGAGGCUGGGUAGAGCUUGUCUGGCUUCCCCCGCCUCAGUGCAGUAUGCUCCAGAAAGGAGAGGGCUGGGGUGUAAAGGAACCGUAGCAUGUACACUCCAGUGCCAACAGAGGGGUGAUCCAAGGGAGCUGGUGGCAGCCGGGGAGUGGCCUCUGUGAGGGGAAUGGAGCAGGAGAAUGGAGGAAGGGGGUCUGUCAGGCACAUGACGGAAGUGGCCAUGCCUCCCUCCAGGUGCUUCUGGGAGCAAAGUGAUCUAGUAGAAGGGGGCAUUCAGAUCUCAAAUGAAAACGCAUCUAGAAAUCCCAAGGAAUGUUUUGGAAGGGGGAUCAUGAGGGGGUAAAAUAGAAUUUUUGCUGGGAAAAGAAGCAGGAGGAGGGAGAAUUACAAGGUCACUGUAAAUGUGAAGUGUGUGUAUUUUCUAACAAAUGAAACUUGCUGGAAACUAAAAGCUUUGUGUAACGCGUGCUGCUAUGAGCCUGGAAUUUUUCCAUGCUAUGAAAUAGAUGGUAAGCCUUAGCCAGAGCGGGGAGGGAAACAUCCCAGUUAGGUUUCAAUCCUCUUCCUCGUGUCCCAUGGAGCAGAUUGUCACUGGGAGUCCUCUUCUUGCAGUGGUGUCCUUAUUUCUGAGACCUGGACUUUGCCUAGGCGGGUGCUGGAGGAACAGUCUCGGAGUGCAAUGUUGUCGUUGGAUUCAUAGGAAGCUCUACCUCUCUCCACUCGGGCUGGUGAAGUUUGCAGUGGCCACUAAAGACCUCUCAGGCCAGCCCAAGCCUGCUGCGCCUGUUUCUGUGUUCUCUUUGGCAAUUGCAUUCUCUUUCGGACCCAGCUUCCUCCUACAUGUUGUGGUCAUCAGAGAGGUGUUUUUUAAACUAAUCUCAACAGCUAAAUACAAACUCAGAAAGACUCUGUUGGACAAAAAAAAAAAAAAAAGGGCAGGAAGUGGGGGAUGAGGUUUACAUUUUAACAUAAAAAGCUCCUGCUUGAAAUUAGAGGCGAACUUUCCCCUUUUAGUCUAAAAUAUGUAUACCUAUCCAUUCCUCAUACAACGAGUGACAAUGAGCGUCUCUCCAGCCUCCCAUCCCAUACAUACUCUUGCCGUAGUCACCAAUGACAAAUAUAUUUGGUCAAUUUUGUGCCUGUGAUUAAAGCAAACCUCUAUAGAGCAGGCCCUCAGGCCAGCCCCGAGACUCCACUGACCACCUCUAGUCAUUUUGUUUCCUAACCUGCCCCUCCCAGUGUCCUGAGGCCCAACCUGUUGCCAACCAUGACCUGGCUGAGUUUCUUGCUGGCCCCCAUUUUGUCCUUUUCAGAAGGCCAGCAGGACCCAGCUAACAGAGCUAGUGCUUACAGGGAGAAGGGCCUCAAAGGUGGGGUAGACAGGAUGUUGAACUCCAAAGUCGGUUAAAGUUAAGAGGGAAAAGUACCACUGCAAUCUACAGAGGCAGGUUCAGAAUUUGGAAAUUCAGGUUUCCUGGAGAAUCCCUCGGGCGGAAGUUCACACCUCUGGCAAAGGCCUCAUGACACUAUGGAAAGCUCACAGGUUUCGGUUCUUAUUCUGCGGUGAUCUGUCAGUGUUCAAAGUCAGUUGACCAACAUCAACUGUGUUGUGCAUGACUAACUCUUAGGAAGGAGGUAACUGAAGCCAGUUUUGCAGACAUGAACCAACGGCCAGUAGAAGUGUUCUGGACAUUGUGCAUGAGUCCGUCCCACUGAGGUGGACUGAAAAGCCAUGAAAAGAAAAAAACCAAGUGGCCUAAAGAUACACCUUUAGCGACAUUCCUCAGUCUUUCAAAACAUGGCUAGAAAACACAAGCCUUCCUAGUUACGGUAAGUUCAUCCUACUGAGAAAUCCAACUUUUUUCAAAGCGAAAAUAAGCCAUGAAUUCAACCAUUCAGCCAGACUUGGAGAUUAUGAAGAUUCCUGGCUCUUGGGCUCCUACUUACUUGCCAGAAAUAUCAAAAGACAUCAGG
This is a long non-coding RNA of Pan troglodytes (chimpanzee), 2194 nucleotides long. RefSeq lists it as uncharacterized. The record is from RefSeq and is a predicted model, not a curated record. NCBI's taxonomy places the organism in Eukaryota, Metazoa, Chordata, Mammalia, Primates, Hominidae. The transcript has 3 exons.